This 876-nucleotide ribosomal RNA is filed under the name uncultured Sphingobacteriia bacterium. RNAcentral describes it as "bacterial SSU rRNA". It matches the Rfam family "Bacterial small subunit ribosomal RNA", at positions 8 to 887 of the family's 1533-position model. Lineage: Bacteria; Pseudomonadati; Bacteroidota; Sphingobacteriia. The record is from RNAcentral.
AGAGAUCAUGGCUCAGAAUCAACGCUGGCGGCGUGCCUCAGACAUGCAAGUCGAACGAUUAAAGCUCCCUUCGGGGAGUGCAUAAAGUGGCGCACGGGUGAGUAACACGUAACCAACCUACCCAGUUCUGGGGGAUAGCCCGCCGAAAGGCGGAUUAAUACCGCAUAAGACGAUAGAGUGGCAUCACUUAGUCGUUAAAGAUUUAUUGGAAUUGGAUGGGGUUGCGUGCCAUUAGCUAGUUGGGGGGGUAACGGCCCACCAAGGCGACGAUGGCUAGGGGAGCUGAGAGGCUGGUCCCCCACACGGGCACUGAGAUACGGGCCCGACUCCUACGGGAGGCAGCAGUAGGGAAUAUUGGGCAAUGGGCGAGAGCCUGACCCAGCCAUGCCGCGUGCAGGACGAAGGCUUUCUGAGUCGUAAACUGCUUUUGCCCGGGAAGAAAAAAGGGGAUGCGUCCCCUACUGACGGUACCGGGUGAAUAAGCACCGGCUAACUCCGUGCCAGCAGCCGCGGUAAUACGGAGGGUGCAAGCGUUGUCCGGAUUUUUGGGUUUAAAGGGUGCGUAGGCGGCCGAUUAAGUCUGGGGUGAAAGCCCGUUGCUCAACAACGGAACUGCCCUGGAAACUGGUCGGCUUGAGUACAGACGAGGGCGGCGGAAUGGAGGGGUAGCGGUGAAAUGCAUAGAUACCCUCCAGAACCCCGAUUGCGAAGGCAGCUGCCUAGACUGUAACUGACGCUGAGGCACGAAAGCGUGGGGAGCGAACAGGAUUAGAUACCCUGUUAGUCCACGCCGUAAACGAUGGAUACUCGCUGCCGGCGAUACAAUGUCGGUGGGCUAACCGAAAGCGUUAAGUAUCCCACCCGGGGAGUACGCCC